CUCAACUUUCAUCUCUUCUCUGCAUCCACCAACACUUCUCUACAUCUUCUCUCUAACUUUAAACAAAUUAAAUCUAAUUUCUCUCGAUUCUUAUCUUCUUUGAAGUUAAAACAUAAUUUUUCUCUCAAUUUUCAUCUCCGUUAAAGCAACUGAACUCUAAAAUUUUUAAGAUGGCCCACUUAAUAAUAGAAGAUAAAGCUAUGGUCAUGGAAUAUCAAGCGACUCUGAUGGAAGAAGAAUAUGAAAGGCACAUCAUGAUGAACGACUCAGAGACACUUAAUAAAGUGGUCAUUUCCUUAGUGCAAUUCUUGUUGCUAUUAAUUAUCUUCCAUAUACUGAAGAUAUCAUCAUAUGCUGGAAAAUUCAUGGUAGAAUAUGAAACUGCUGUGUCUUUCUUGGUCAUCGCUAUUGUUUUAAUUUUUCAAAUAUUGCUAAUUAUUAAACUAGCAAAAUAUUCGUGUUGCAUGGGUCCCCGUCGUCGCGUGUAAUUUGAAAAAAUUAACAUUUUUUAUGCAUUAGGGGCAAAAAAAUAAAUGUAUAUGUUCGUUUCCAA
Cicer arietinum (chickpea) is the source of this 553-nucleotide long non-coding RNA. RefSeq lists it as uncharacterized. The record is from RefSeq and is a predicted model, not a curated record. Lineage: Eukaryota; Viridiplantae; Streptophyta; Magnoliopsida; Fabales; Fabaceae.